This 888-nucleotide ribosomal RNA is filed under the name Strombomonas gibberosa. Its description in RNAcentral is "partial large subunit ribosomal RNA". It matches the Rfam family "Eukaryotic large subunit ribosomal RNA", at positions 2188 to 2922 of the family's 3401-position model. The record is from RNAcentral. Lineage: Eukaryota; Euglenozoa; Euglenophyceae; Euglenales; Euglenaceae.
GAGGUGACUUCUGCCCAGUGCUCUGAUUGUCAAUGCGAAGAGAUCCAGCCAAGCGCGGGUAAACGGCGGGAGUAACUAUGACUCUCUUAAGGUAGCCAAAUGCCUCGUCAACCAAUUAUUGACGCGCAUGAAUGGAUCAACGAGAUUCCUGCUGUCCCUAGUUGCUAUCUGGUGAACCAACAGCCAAGGGAACGGGCUUGGAUGUGUCAGCGGGGAAAGAAGACCCUGUUGAGUUUGACUCUAGUUUGAUGCUGUGCAACGACAUGUGGGGUGUAGCAUAGGUGGGAGGCAAGUGCCAGUGCACAACGGAGUGAUGAUGUUCAAGUGAGAGCGGGUUGCGACGAGCUGCACCAAGUGGUGCGAGCCAGCAGUGAAAUACCACUACCUUCACCGUCGAUGUACUCAUUGAGUGGCUAGGGGGCGGCUAGCCAAUCAAGAUCAGCUCUUCCUCUCGGAAGGGUUGUGGCCCAACGCCGGUUCGUGCGACAAGCGACGGCACUCUAAGUGCUACGCUACUCUGGAAGCUAUGCGGUCCAAUCAGAAGCCUCAAGACACUGAUCAGUUGGGGAGUUUGGCUGGGGCGGCACGCCUGUUACAGCACAACGCAGGCGUCCUGAAGCAAUGCUCAGAUGGAACAGAACUCUCCCAGAGAGGAUCAGGCCAAAGGUGCUGCUGAUGCUGCUGCUCUCAGCACGAGCACAUAACAUGCAAGUGUGGCCUUACGAUCCUUUGGUUAAGUGCACGAGUUUGGGAUAUUGAAGCCAGAGGUGUCGGAAAAAUUACCACAGGGAUAACUGGCUUGUGGCUGCCAAGCGUUCAAAGCGACGUUGCUUUUUGAUCCUUCGAUGUCGGCUCUUCCUAGCUUCGCACCCGCAGCCGAGUCGAAGA